AUUAGAAAGAACACCAAAUGCGAAGGAACCUUACUGGGUCACUACUGACACUGAGGAGCGAAAGCUUGAGUAGCGAAGAGGAUUAGAUACCCUCGUAGUCCAUGCCGUAAACGAUGUGUGCUAGACGUUGGAAAUAUAUUUUUCAGUGUCGCAGCGUACGCAUUAAGCACCC
This 172-nucleotide ribosomal RNA is filed under the name uncultured bacterium. RNAcentral describes it as "partial 16S ribosomal RNA". It matches the Rfam family "Bacterial small subunit ribosomal RNA", at positions 696 to 869 of the family's 1533-position model. The record is from RNAcentral.